Molecule: ribosomal RNA, 813 nt
Filed under: uncultured bacterium
Lineage: Bacteria
Description: bacterial SSU rRNA
Rfam family: Bacterial small subunit ribosomal RNA
Source: RNAcentral
UUUUGAGCAAUUAGCUUGCUAAGGGUGGAACCGUUGGCAGUUUAGUGGCGGACGGGUGAGUAACGCGUGGGUAACCUGCCUUACACAGGGGGAUAACACCUGGAAACAGGUGCUAAUACCGCAUAACAGGAAGAGGCGCAUGCCACUUUCUUGAAAACUCCGGUGGUGUAAGAUGGACCCGCGUCUGAUUAGCUAGUUGGCGGGGUAACGGCCCACCAAGGCGACGAUCAGUAGCCGGCCUGAGAGGGUGGACGGCCACAUUGGGACUGAGACACGGCCCAAACUCCUACGGGAGGCAGCAGUGGGGAAUAUUGGACAAUGGGGGGAACCCUGAUCCAGCGACGCCGCGUGAGUGAAGGAGUAUUUCGGUAUGUAAAGCUCUAUCAGCAGGGAAGAAAGAAAUGACGGUACCUGACUAAGAAGCCCCGGCUAACUACGUGCCAGCAGCCGCGGUAAUACGUAGGGGGCAAGCGUUAUCCGGAUUUACUGGGUGUAAAGGGAGCGUGGACGGUGAUGCAAGUCUGAAGUGAAAGGCGGGGGCUCAACCCCCGGACUGCUUUGGAAACUGUAUGACUGGAGUGCAGGAGAGGUAAGUGGAAUUCCUAGUGUAGCGGUGAAAUGCGUAGAUAUUAGGAGGAACACCAGUGGCGAAGGCGGCUUACUGGACUGUAACUGACGUUGAGGCUCGAAAGCGUGGGGAGCAAACAGGAUUAGAUACCCUGGUAGUCCACGCCGUAAACGAUGAUCACUAGGUGUCGGUGGGUAUGGACCCAUCGGUGCCGCAGCGAACGCAGUAAGUGAUCCACCUGGGGA